CAGGGUCGAAGGAAAAGCUUGACAAAGGGUUGCGUCAGUUGCUCCUUAUAGGAGCACAAAGGAUUUAAAAUUUUCUAAGUAGUUCCAUCGUAUGGCUCCAAUUGAGGCAUUUUGAAUCAAGACGAUAACAGUUCACUCAUGAUCUCCUGUGUGAAUGGUGGGUCUGUGUUGAAAUCCAGAUCGGCAUUUUGCUGUCAUGGUGCUUGUAGCACUUCAAUCCGUUGCUGCAUCUCCUGGAGCCUCCUCUCCAAGUCAUCCUUCUGAGUUGGGGAGUGGCGAGAAGAAAGGUGCCAUGGUGUCGAAUCUCUUCUUGAGAUCAGGGUGGAUGAUCA
This 332-nucleotide long non-coding RNA is filed under the name Elaeis guineensis (African oil palm). RNAcentral's name for it is "long non-coding RNA (EGUI_LNC036727)". Lineage: Eukaryota; Viridiplantae; Streptophyta; Magnoliopsida; Arecales; Arecaceae. The record is from RNAcentral.